RNA transcript from Lycium ferocissimum, 2101 nucleotides. It is a transcript of the gene named protein HAIKU1-like, with no coding region annotated. The record is from RefSeq and is a predicted model, not a curated record. Lineage: Eukaryota; Viridiplantae; Streptophyta; Magnoliopsida; Solanales; Solanaceae. The transcript is spliced from 2 exons.
UUGACUGAAGUUGAAGCUAGUUGAUCCAUGGUUAUCACUUUUUGUGGUGAUAAUUCUUCAAUUUCAAGUGUUGGGUUUUUUGUUAUAUAAGAUUGGAGUUGCAGUGCUGACAAGGAGGAUUAAAGAUAAAAUCUAUUGAUUUUUUUUUUUUUGAGUUGAGUGAUUGUAUUGAAGUUAUUGAGAUGGAUAAUUCAGAUAGGUCGUUCAAUAGGAAUCCUGAUCAUUUGGGUGUGAAUAAAUUUGGGAAGAAUAUCAAGAAGAGUCCUAUACACCAACCCAAUUUCAAUAACAAUACAAAUAGUGGUGCUAGGCAACAACCUCAACCUCAGGUUUACAAUAUUAACAAGAACGAUUUUCGGAGCAUUGUUCAGCAACUUACAGGUUCACCAUCUCAAGAACCUCCACCUAGACCUCCUCAGAAUCCUUCUAAGCCUCCUAGUAUGAGAUUACAAAAGAUUCGGCCACCCCCUUUGACUCCAAUAAAUCGUCCCCAAAUUCCAGUCCACCCUCAACGUCAAGCACAUAUCCCUGCCCCAGCUCGACCUGUAGGAGGCGUUCCUUACCAUAACAAUAUGGUAAGACCGCCUCCACACUAUGGUCAGCCCUCACCUCCUAUGUUACCACCAACACCUGGAGAUGUUUGGACAAAUACAGCUGAGUCUCCAAUUUCAGUUUAUAUGCGCUAUCUUCAAAAUUCAAUAAUAGAUUCAGGGCCUAAACAAACACAAUUUCAAGGUCCUGGUCAUUAUCAAGCACAUCCAGCAUCACCUGGCUUACUUCCUAAUCCUUCAAUGCCACCUCUUCCAUCUCCUAGAAUGAACGGCCCGCCUCCUUUCCCAUCCGCGCGGAUGAAUGGUUUCCCAUCUCCUAGGAUGAAUGGCCCUCCUCCACCUCUUCCAUCUCCUAGAAUGAAUGGCCCCCCUCCUUUCCUGUCUCCUAGGAUGAAUGGUCCUCCUCCGCCUCUUCCUUCCCCGGGAGUAAACGGCCCUCCUCCUUUGCCUUCACCUACUUCUCAGUAUCUUUUGCCGUCACCCACUGGUUUCUUGAACUUGUUAUCUCCACGAUCCCCGUAUCCAUUGCUUUCUCCGGGUGUGCAGCAUCCUCCACCACUGACACCAAAUUUCUUCUUCUCUCCAAUGGCUCAGCCUGGGGGUUUUGGCGCGGGGCAACAGUUUCCUCCUUCGCCUGGUUACGGAUUUCCAUUGUCACCUUCUGGGUUCUUCGCCAUGUCAAGUCCAAGAUGGAGGGAUCAAUAGCGCCACGAAGAGAGCUGCUGACUUUGGAUUGCUCUUUUGAUCUGAUUCUUUGCUUCGAGUUUUGUCAAGGUGGUAGAUAUCUUUCAAUUGAAGCUUUUUCCCUGUGGAUAUGCACUGUAUACAAUAGAAAAUGUGGUAUGGUGCUAGUGGAUCUGGAGUUUUUUUCCCAGUGCGUUAUUCACUCAAGAACGUUAAUUCUUGAUUUUCUGAUUGGCUGAGCUGCACAGUUUCUGGAGGAAUGCAUUCUUUCCAGUUGAUUGACAGGUGAAACAGAUAGAACUAUUAACUUUAUAAUUUUCGAGGAAAAGAUGAGGAGGGGGGUUUGGAGGUGGAAAGAGUUAAUGGAUCUGAGUAAUUGUAAAUGCAGUUGCUAAUUCCAUUGAGUAUAUAACAAUCUAUUUAAUCAAAUUAAAUGAAUGUCUUUGGUUGUAGCAGAACACUGGAUAUUCUUGUCCGGAGUCGCUCUGACACUGAUGUUUUUAAAUGUGUCCACCUUAUAAAAAAAAAACGAUAUCCCCUUGUACACUAUGUGCCUGUAUGUCCAUUGUAGGUGCCGCAUGUAUAUGUUGGUGGGGUAUUCUAUCACCAUUUUAGACCAGCUGAAUAAAAAUUAGGGAUAGGAACAAUGUUUAGACCUAAAACAUUUCAGAUUUGCAUGAGUUGGUGAAGUACGACCCAAGACAAUUAUGCUAGGUGAUCUCUCAUUUGCAGACUGUUGAGGUUUAUACUCGCCAUUUUUUUGGAGAAGUGAGAGCACCUGAAUGUUUAACAUCCCAAAGCUGUGAAUCUGUUUACAGCUGCAGAAAGCUAUUCUGCUGAGGCCUGAGAGUGCUAUAAAUUCAUUC